AGCUUCCUCGGUGUUAUCGACUGUAGGCCGGCUCUGAUUGCCAGGUCUUUGUGGCUGAAUUCGGCCGAGCGCACUCCUCUGCCACCCGCACUCUCGCUUCAGGCGGCUGCAGAGGGACCCACCAUCGCUGAAAAUGCUAAAGAAAAGAAGCGCAGCGCAUCGCUGAGAUUUGGGGGUGACUUCCUCCAGACACUAAGGAUUUCUGCCCUCCAAGCCGCCCGCGCCCCUCCGCCCCCCGUCUUUCCUCUUACAAACCUCCCCUAACCUAAGAAGCAAGCGCUGAACUUAAUGCUUGACAAAAAUGGGUACAAAGUUUUCGCACAGCCUUUCCGCCCCCCGGGGACAGGAUCGAAAAUUCCGAGGGCAACAGGAGCACCGCUAGCGCCCGCUUUCUUUAAAUGCGGCUUCUGCGGAGGGCGGACGCUAUUGUCAUGGUAAAUUUCACUCGCUCAGGAAGAAAGGGUUGGUGAUCAAUCAAAAAAAAAAAAAAAAAAAAAAAAAAAAGAGGUAUUCCUUUGCGGCUCUGCCUCUGCCUCUUUCUUCCUAGACAGGGUGAAAGGCUUUUUACUAUUCUCGGUUAAAAACCAAAAACACAGACAAGGCUUUGGCGCGUGUGGGAGCCGAAAGCAGUCUGCGGAGACCCUGGGGGACGUCAGUGUGAACGCAGUGGGUAGACCCCACUCAGGACUUCCGCUGAAUUCCAGCGGGUGUAGUGGGAGAAGCAUCCCCGGGGAGCCGCAGGCUUCGCUGUCCCGACUGAGUUUAUCUUGGCCUGAGGGCAGCGUGCUGAGCGAUCUAACCCAGCAGGGAAGCUCCUCUUGCCUCCAUCUGGGUCAGGCACUUUAAACCGAAGCCGACUUGACCAUGCCUCUGGCGCGAUGAAGACUCCGGAGAACUUGGAGGAGCCUAGCGCCACGCCAAACCCCAGUAGGACCCCCACGGAGAGAUUCGUUUAUCUGGAAGCGCUCCUAGAGGGAGGGGCUCCCUGGGGCUUCACCCUGAAAGGUGGCCUGGAGCGUGGAGAACCGUUAAUCAUUUCCAAGGUAAGUUUCUGCUCUCAGUAUUGUCUGCAACCAACUUGUGGCUUUUUGUUUGUAGCUUUUAAGGUUGUGUCAGAUUUGUC
Molecule: long non-coding RNA, 1123 nt
Filed under: Mus musculus (house mouse)
Lineage: Eukaryota; Metazoa; Chordata; Mammalia; Rodentia; Muridae
Description: long non-coding RNA chr5:92682788-92683911
Source: RNAcentral